RNAcentral lists this ribosomal RNA (482 nucleotides) under uncultured bacterium. RNAcentral's name for it is "partial 16S ribosomal RNA". It matches the Rfam family "Bacterial small subunit ribosomal RNA", at positions 30 to 507 of the family's 1533-position model. The record is from RNAcentral.
AUUGAACGCUGGCGGCAUGCUUUACACAUGCGAGUCGAACGGUAACAGGCCGCAAGGUGCUGACGAGUGGCGAACGGGUGAGUAAUGCAUCGGAACGUGCUCAGUCGUGGGGGAUAACUACUCGAAAGAGUAGCUAAUACCGCAUACGAUCUAUGGAUGAAAGCGGGGGACCGUAAGGCCUCGCGCGAUUGGAGCGGCCGAUGUCAGAUUAGGUAGUUGGUGGGGUAAAGGCUCACCAAGCCAACGAUCUGUAGCUGGUCUGAGAGGACAACCAGCCACACUGGGACUGAGACACGGCCCAGACUCCUACGGGAGGAAGCAGUGGGGAAUUUUGGACAAGGGGCGCAAGCCUGAUCCAGCAAUGCCGCGUGCAGGAAGAAGGCCUUCGGGUUGUAAACUGCUUUUGUACGGAACGAAACGGCUCUGGUUAAUACCCGGGGCUAAUGACGGUACCGUAAGAAUAAGCACCGGCUAACUACGUG